Long non-coding RNA from Arabidopsis thaliana (thale cress), 642 nucleotides. RefSeq annotates it as other RNA. Lineage: Eukaryota; Viridiplantae; Streptophyta; Magnoliopsida; Brassicales; Brassicaceae. The record is from RefSeq. The transcript is spliced from 2 exons.
UAUCCUACAGGUUCGGUAAGCACAUCACCAAACCACUCAACAAUCCCCCAAAUUUCACAACUUUUGCGCCUUUCAAGCGCAAUCUCUGCACACCGAAUCAUCUUCUUAUAGCCGCUAUCAGGUCCACGAGAAGGCAACUCCUCCUCCCACAAAACCGUUAAUUUUCCUCCAUAAUCAGCCAACUUAACAUUGGCACCAGAACCGAACAUAGGCACCACAUGGAACUCUCCGUCAAUGCAUGCGGUUCCGCAUCCGUAAAAAUCGCCUUCCGUCUUGCUGCAAGUAAUGGUAUCAGGAUCCCAAAAUUGUGUUUCAGUGUCAAACACCUCGAACGAAUUCUUAUAGGUGUAAGAAUCACCAUCCAAGCAACUUCCUGCUACGUAUAUCUUUCGAUCAAGGACACUAGAAGAAACAGAACAUAGCCCCUCACGCAAGCUUGGAGCCUCGCGCCACGUGUGAGACCGACAAUCAAGAAUGGAGACGCUUGAAGAGGACUCUAGGUAGCUGGAUCCUGCAAUGUUAUAGAUAUUAGAACCAACAGCUACGAGACUAGAAGAGUGCAAAGGAGGAGAAUGUAAAUUUGAGACUCUAGCCAAAACAUACCCGCUUGACUUCUUGAUGGUGCCAUUGGUUAGGGUUUGA